Molecule: ribosomal RNA, 253 nt
Filed under: uncultured prokaryote
Description: partial 16S ribosomal RNA
Rfam family: Bacterial small subunit ribosomal RNA
Source: RNAcentral
ACGGGGGGAGCAAGCGUUGUUCGGAAUCACUGGGCGUAAAGGGAGUCUAGGCGGUUUGGUAAGUGGGAUGUGAAAUGCCCGGGCUCACCCCGGGACCUGCAUCCCAAACUGCUGAGCUUGAGUACAGGAGGGGGUGGGGGAAUUCCAGGUGUAGCGGUGAAAUGCGUAGAUAUCUGGAGGAACACCGGUGGCGAAGGCGACUACCUGGACCAGCACUGACACUGAGGCACGAAAGCGUGGGGAGCAAACAGGA